RNA transcript from Pyrus x bretschneideri (Chinese white pear), 2498 nucleotides. It is a transcript of the gene named E3 ubiquitin-protein ligase Topors, with no coding region annotated. NCBI's taxonomy places the organism in Eukaryota, Viridiplantae, Streptophyta, Magnoliopsida, Rosales, Rosaceae. The record is from RefSeq and is a predicted model, not a curated record. The transcript has 7 exons.
CGAAUAUAAAUACUUCAGAUCUCCUUUAAACAAAUUGUCAUUCUUUCCGGGCCGUGUCUCUCUCUUUCUCUCUCCUCUUUCAGACUCUUUCAGAGAGGCGUGAUGGACUUCUCGUUAAGGGAACCGACGAGGAUAAGCGGCCGGGAGAAGCGGCUGCGGACGGUAAUAUUGCCGGCAAUCCGAGGGCAAAACUGUCCAAUAUGCUUGGUUGCCGUGGAAGCUCGCAGCGCAGCGGUGCUCUCGUCCUGUAACCACGCAUACUGCGUCCGUUGCAUCCGGAAGUGGAGCAAUUUGAGACGAAAAUGCCCUCUCUGCAACGCCGACUUCGACUCCUGGUUCUCGCAAAUCAGCCUCUCUUCCCGAAGCUUCCACAAAGAACAUUUACCUCCUUUGUAUCGCACUUCUAGUGCUAGAAGCUUCGGCCUUCAACACGAAGAGCAUCCUCCAAGGCAUGUGAGUAGUAGUGAACGGCGGCGAUCAAGGCCGAUGCCGUGGCGGCGAUCGUUUGGACGGCCAGGAUCGGUCGGUCCUGAUACGGUUGCGGAGAGAAAGCUCCAAUGGCGAGCUAGCAGUGUAUAUGACAGACGAUUGCAAGCUGUGCCUUCGGCUUCAAGAAAUCGUCUUCAAGUGAGUGUACCCAUAAACGAUGGUGUGAAAGAGAGAAUCUUGCAAAGAAUAGAGCCAUGGAUUCGGAGGGAGUUGCAGGCUCUUCUUGGAGACGGAGAUCCAUCUAUUAUUGUUCAUGUGGCCACCUCACUCUUCAUUGCAAGCCUUGAAAAUAAGGAUCAGGUCCUUCCAGGACAGUGUGAUGUCCGAGGUGACCCCCUUGCGUCGUUGCGCCCUUUUCUAGUUGAUCGAACUGACGUGUUUUGGCACGAGUUAAGAUGUUUUGCAGAGAGUCCAUUCAACAUGGAAACCUAUGACGCAGUGGUCGAGUAUAAAAGCUUGCGUUGAAUUUUGGCGAGAAACUUGAUACUAAUUUCUGAUCUUGCCUAUACAUUGGAACACCUGUGUGAAUAUCGGGGAACUCCUCAACAGGGAAGUUAAAGUGGCCAACUGCUUGCUCAGCUAAGUCAUGUGAUGCAUCCGCUGGGUCGUUAGAGAAUGUAAAGAGCAAUGGUUUACGAGGGGUUUAAUGUUUAACUGCAACAAAAUUUGAAGUUUCUUUUAUGCCACAAGCUAGUGUAAGGAUUCAAGAAGCGGGCCUGAUUUACUUAUGAGCUCACAAUCUCAUGCAAGCUGCUGGAGUUGCUUAGUGGAGCCUUGUUGGCACAAUGAUUAGCUUCUGCUUUCUUUAUACAAGCAACAAGGUUACGUAAAAGGAAAGGGAUUUGAGUUACAUGGUCCUUGUCGUCAUGAGAUUCGUGAGAUGUUUGUGUCUAUGGGAUAGUGUGAAGAGGACAGAUAGUCGGCAUUGGGAUAUCCUGCUAAUGACUGAAGCUUGAGAGCAAAUUAUAAGGCCCUGAUCUGCAGUUGUGAAAGAACGCAACAAAUAUCCUAUGUGAAUGGCACCGGUGUUUCUUAUUUUCUCAAAUAACCAACUGACAAUCAUGGGUUCCACAAUACUGAUCAUCAAGCGCAACACACGAAUCUGGCUAUCAUCAGUACUAGGUUGGAUGCUCCUGGGUCUUUCUCCUGCAACCCCUUGUGUCCUCAGCAAGUUAAAAAUCUUCAAAUGACAGAGUCUGCCCUAUCAAGCAAACGCCAUGGCAAGCAACGAAACGGAUGUCCCAGAUUUCGUCCUUUACAUCCUCUAUACAACUCAUGGUUCUGGAGGAAGUUUGUAUCAGGUAACAUGCCGGCUUUCGGAUGAUCCUCUUCUUUACUUCCAUAUUUGGCUCUGCUGGGUUGCACAGAUCAUGGUGAAAAGUUGCAUCAGCAGCCAAGCAAAGCACAGAAGAAAGCCAAACUUUUCUAAGCCCCGCUCCCACAUAUUAGAACGUAUGCACCCUCAGUUUUUGCAACUUAAUUGCAACUCGCUGCUUCAAGUUUGAUCCAGGACAUUGUCAAUUCUGCAGUUGAAGGCACUCUCUUUAAGCAUUUUUUGUCAGCUCUACUUUCCUCCAUUGCUUCAAUGCUUCAAUCUCCUCCUCCGUCCUGAUGGUACCAGCCUUUGAUGCGAUGAACAACGCACUUUUCGAGUGCAACAGCACUCUAUGACGUACGCUAGUUCAGAAUCACCCAGGCCGCUACUAUACCCUUAACCCUAAGAUAUUGCUCAAGUACUGCAAGCAGGAAAAUACUAGAGAGGCUUUUCUGUAGGAAGUUUGUAUCAGGUAACAUCCUGACUUUCGGAUGCUCCUCUUCUUUACUUCCAUAUUUGGCUCUGCUUGGUUACACAGAUCAUGGCAAAAGGCAAUACUUACAUUUUGCACCAGCAGCCAAGCAAAGCACAGAACAAACUUUUGACAACAGAAGUUCUACCACCAAAUAAAGUUUUCGUUUUCUUUUGGGUUUCUGAUAAGUGUCCCCCACAAACAAGUCAAAAACAGAAGAAU